UGAUAGAACUGAAGCACAUGACGGCCUUCUUUUAAACUUCAAUUUAUGUUAGGAAAACCUGGCGACUUUAUUGUUACGCUUCUGGGCACUCAAGAGAAUUGUGAAGAAAAGCACGGUUCAUCAGUAAAAUCCUUGCAUAGGUACUCUCACCGUCAUUCUCCCGUGCUGGGCAAGGGGUGAUUGCCGUGACUACGCAAUGCGGCUACAACUGCAUCUACGGCAAGUAGGCGUUUUCGUGGAGCGCAGGAGUUUGUUGAACACCCUGUUACUGCGGCCGGAUCUACAGGCUGACUACCAAAUUUACGGAAGGCUGCCCAGCAGUGGUUACUCUGCCAGUUAUGACGGACAUUGACGUGGACGUGCUAUGUCUGAACUUAUCUCAGUUACCAGUAGAGGAACUACGAAUGCUAGAAUUCACCAAAAUCCUUCCGGACUUGCGGCUCGCUGGUGUCGCGCAACGUGAUGCCGUUGCAGCGAUCCGUGGAAGUUUGCAGGACAUCAACACGCUGGGAAAACGGCUUAACGACGUGGCAUGGAUUUACUGCUGGCUCAUUCCGCGCGACAGGCUGCAUUCUUGGGUGCUCUAUCGCUUCAGCGGGCCCACAGCGGAUGCCAGGGAUUUCACGCUGCACAAGAAGAUAGCGAACGCGUUCUGUUCGCCCGGCAUGAGCAACGCAUUUCAAUCUUUGUCUUACCAUGCUGGGCGCUACGUCUGCUUAAUGACCAGAGAGCCCGAAAGCGGGGUGGAAGAACACUGUGUCAUAUGCUUGUGUGCCUGGGUCGACAUACCUUACGUGGCCGUACGUGUCGCUGGAGUUCAAGAUAUUCCAAAACUGCGGUCUGUACUUAAAGUCCUAUUGCAAGGCGAGCUCUACCAACUUAUCACUGGCUGUCACCAAGAGCUCAGCACCGCUUGGGCUUGCGCUGUCCGUGACUUCAACUUGCGCCGUGCAACGUCACAAGCGAACUACAUGAUCCCGACGACACCUGGGCGACGUCUCUAGUGUAGUGGUGACUAUAUUAGACUACACUCUGGCACAAUCAAGCCACGAGAACAAAGAAAAAUACGGGCGGAGAAGCCUGUUUUGCUGCACAUGAAUUGUGACAAUAUUUUGUACAAAAUAUCCAAACUGCGCCUCUACAUUGAACGUGAUGCUAACCGAAUAUCGUACGUCUGCCAACACUCCAGAAGGAGCCGGUUCCAGAAACUCCUUAGCGUCAGCAACAACUUCCUCUGAUCGACUGUCAGGAAAGAAUGCCUACAAAUAACCUUUUUAUUUUUUGACGAGUGCUUCCCUUACGUGCUCAGACUAUCUGUAGACACCUUGUCACACGAUAUGCAGCUGAAUAAAGAUGACCUGUGCGUCCAUCA
Dermacentor andersoni is the source of this 1372-nucleotide long non-coding RNA. RefSeq lists it as uncharacterized. The record is from RefSeq and is a predicted model, not a curated record. Lineage: Eukaryota; Metazoa; Arthropoda; Arachnida; Ixodida; Ixodidae.